GGUGAGAGCAUAUGACAGGCUGUCCUGCUCUGAGUUGUUUUGUUCAUAAAAAAUUAACUGAAUUUUGAAGCCAAGGCUCUGCAAGUAUCUGAUGUCAGGUAUUUUCUGUUGAAACUAAACAUUAAAUUUUAACUUCAACUUUCCAACAAUUGUCAAGGCUAUGGGAAUUGCAAUUUGUGUUUUUGAUAUCGACCACUCCAAAAAUGAAUUUGUUCGCCAAAAAUGUAAGCGUGCGUUUCAAGAUGUCGACCAGGAAAAGAAUAUUAAAAAAGGAAUGUCCGGUGCAGUUAUAGAGAACUACUAGGACAAUUGCAAAGUUACUGUAACAGCAUGGUUAAGAAGAUUGCUGACCUGCAAAACUUAAAGUGCCAGUACAUAAUAAUUAUUACUGUAGUAUUUAGCAGUGUUUGUCAACCUCUUUGAAGCCUCAUUUGGUUCUGGCAUUUUCCAAUUGGUGUCCA
RNAcentral lists this long non-coding RNA (461 nucleotides) under Anneissia japonica. Its description in RNAcentral is "uncharacterized LOC117111501, transcript variant X1". Lineage: Eukaryota; Metazoa; Echinodermata; Crinoidea; Comatulida; Comatulidae. The record is from RNAcentral.